Molecule: ribosomal RNA, 161 nt
Filed under: uncultured bacterium
Lineage: Bacteria
Description: partial 16S rRNA
Rfam family: Bacterial small subunit ribosomal RNA
Source: RNAcentral
GGAAUCUUCCACAAUGGGCGCAAGCCUGAUGGAGCAACACCGCGUGAGUGAAGAAGGGUUUCGGCUCGUAAAGCUCUGUUGUUAAAGAAGAACACGUAUGAGAGUAACUGUUCAUACGUUGACGGUAUUUAACCAGAAAGUCACGGCUAACUACGUGGCAG